GAUGAACGCUGGCGGCGUGCCUAAUACAUGCAAGUCGAGCGAACGGACGAGAAGCUUGCUUCUCUGAUGUUAGCGGCGGACGGGAGAGUAACACGUGUAUAACCUACCUAUAAGACUGGGAUAACUUCGGGAAACCGGAGCUAAUACCGGAUAAUAUUUUGAACCGCAUGGUUCAAUAGUGAAAGACGGUCUUGGUGUCACUUAUAGAUGGAUCCGCGCUGCAUUAGCUGGUUGGUAAGGUAACGGCUUACCAAGGCAACGAUGCGUAGCCGACCGGAGAGGGGGAUCGGCCACAUUGGAACUGAGACGCGGUCCAGACUCCUGCGGGAGGCAGCAGUAGGGAAUGUUACGCAAUGGGCGAAAGCCUGACGGAGCAACGCCGCGUGAGUGAUGGAGGUCUUCGGAUCGUAAAACUCUGUUAUUAGGGAAGAACAUAUGUGUAAGUAACUGUGCACAUCUUGACGGUACCUAAUAAGAAAGCCACGGCUAACUACGUG
This 497-nucleotide ribosomal RNA is filed under the name uncultured bacterium. RNAcentral's name for it is "partial 16S ribosomal RNA". It matches the Rfam family "Bacterial small subunit ribosomal RNA", at positions 28 to 507 of the family's 1533-position model. The record is from RNAcentral.